GAUUAUAAAUUUAAUUAUUAUUAUUGAUUUUUUAAAGUAUUAUUUUAUUUAUUAUUACAAAAGAAAAAUUUUUUUUUAUUAUAGUUUACUAGUAAAGUGAUUGAAUUUAUUUAUAUAUUAAUAAGAAAAAUUUAUUUUUUGUACCUUGUGUAUCAGGGUUGAUUAAUUUUAUAAUUAUUAUUAAUUUUUCUCGAAUUAAGAAGAGCUAAUUAUGUAUAUGUUUAAUUUUUUCAUAAAUUUUCAUAAUAUAUAAUUUGAAAUGAAAUGUUAUUCGUUUCUUAAUAUAUCUAGUUUUUUAAGAAAAGAAUUUAAUUCUCUUAUUAUUUAUUAUUAGUUAAUUUUUAGUUAAUAAUUUUUAGUAUGAAAUAAAUAAAGGGAUAAGCUUUUAUUUUGAUAAUUAAAAAUUUAUUUGGUUUUAUUUUUUGUAUAAUUUAAAUUGUUAAUCAUUUUUAUAAUAUAAUAGUUAAUUUUAUUUAAUUAAUGAUUUAUAUUUAUUUUAAUUUUUUUAUUAAAAAUUUAUGUUUAAUUUUUUAGCUUUUUUAUAAUGAUUAAAUUAGUAGAUAAAUAUGUAUUUAUUAUUUAUUUUUUAAGAUAAUAAAAAGGAACUCGGCAAAUAAAUUUUUCGCCUGUUUAUUAAAAACAUGUCUUUUUGAUUAUAAUUUAAGGUUUAAUCUGCUCAAUGAUUUAUUAAAUUGCCGCAGUAUUUUGACUGUGCAAAGGUAGCAUAAUAAUUAGCUUUUUUAUUGAAAGCUGGAAUGAAUGAUUGGACGAAAAAAUUUCUGUCUCUUUAUUAUUUAUUAUUUAAUUUUACUUUUAAGUUAAAAGGCUUAAAUUUUUUUAAAAGACGAGAAGACCCUAUAGAGUUUUAUUUUUGUUUUUUGAUUGAUUUUUAGAAUUUAAAAUAUUUUAUAAAAUAAAAAAUUUAGUUGGGGUGACUGAAAGAUUAAUUAAACUCUUUUAAUUGAAAUCAUUUAUUUAUGAAUAAAGAAAUUAUUUUUAUAAAUUUAAAAUAAAUUACCUUAGGGAUAACAGCGUUAUUUUUCUUUAGAGUUCUUAUUGAAAGGAAAGAUUGCGACCUCGAUGUUGGAUUAAAAUUUAUUUUUGGUGCAGAAGCUGAAAUAUUAAGUCUGUUCGACUUUUAAAAUUUUACAUGAUCUGAGUUUAAACCGGUGUAAGCCAGGUUGGUUUCUAUCUUUAAAUUUUUAAUAUAUUUUAGUACGAAAGGACCAAAUAUAUAAUAUAUUAUUUUAUUUUGAAUAAUAUU
RNAcentral lists this ribosomal RNA (1264 nucleotides) under Abscondita chinensis. RNAcentral describes it as "16S ribosomal RNA". The stretch from base 1025 to 1183 matches the Rfam family "Archaeal large subunit ribosomal RNA", at positions 2542 to 2701 of the family's 2987-position model. The record is from RNAcentral. Lineage: Eukaryota; Metazoa; Arthropoda; Insecta; Coleoptera; Lampyridae.